GCCGGGCGUGGUGGCGUGUGCCUGUAGUCCCAGCUACUUGGGAGUCUGAGGAUGGAGGAUCACUUGAGCCCAGGAGUUCUGGGCUGCAGUGCACUAUGCCGAUCAGGUGUCCGCACUAAGUUUGGCAUCAAUAUGGUGACCUCUCGGGAGCGGGGGACCACCAGGUUGCCUAAGGAGGGAUGAACCAGCCCAGGUCGGAAACGGAGCAGAUCAAAUUAUUUUACAGGCAGGAUUGUGGGUCACCCAGCAAGUAUAGAUCAUCCUAUGUGUGGGACUAUGUGAUAGCUUGGUAGAGCUUAGGGAAGCUACCCUCAU
RNAcentral lists this signal recognition particle RNA (315 nucleotides) under Erinaceus europaeus (western European hedgehog). RNAcentral's name for it is "Metazoan signal recognition particle RNA". It matches the Rfam family "Metazoan signal recognition particle RNA". From Rfam's summary of the family: The signal recognition particle (SRP) is a universally conserved ribonucleoprotein. It is involved in the co-translational targeting of proteins to membranes. Lineage: Eukaryota; Metazoa; Chordata; Mammalia; Eulipotyphla; Erinaceidae. The record is from Rfam by way of RNAcentral.